Astatotilapia calliptera (eastern happy) is the source of this 631-nucleotide long non-coding RNA. NCBI's taxonomy places the organism in Eukaryota, Metazoa, Chordata, Actinopteri, Cichliformes, Cichlidae. The record is from Ensembl.
UCUUGGCAAUAGUUAGGGCUGCAAGGAGAAUACCGUCAUUGGGACCUGAAUAGAUGACAAGUCACCUAGGAUGCACAGCUUUGAAGACAGUGGGAGCAAGCAGUUUCAUGUUGGGAGUGUCAUGGUCUGCGGCCCGGCGUCCGGGGUGCUGUUGGGAUGCCCACGCCCACGGGCGUGGCUGCUAACCCCACACCUGCAUCCCAUCCCAGGCGAUCACCAGGUGGACUAUUUAAUCCUGUCCUACCUGCUGCUCCACGCCAGUCCGUAGUCGCCUCCCAGCGGUAACGUACACCUGCAGGAAAAAAACCCUUAUGACAAAUUGUCCAUUGGAACGGACUCUGUUUUACCCUGUGUACUCAGAUCACAACUCGGCGUUUUUGCGAGCCACCUGCCUGUCCACCUGUCCGCCUGAGAUUCGGAAGCACUAUCAGCCUCGCCGUCUCGACCCUUUUGGAGCCCCCCCCCCUCUGGUUCACUCAGCCCGGCUACCUCCCUUCUCACAGCCCCGCUCUCGGCGUUCCCUGCGUAGUUCACCUCCCCAGUCCCUCAGUUUCUUCUGGUUCCAUACGUUGUUUUUUCGGCUACCCUCACGGGACACCUUUAGUUAUAAUAAAUUUGCUUUCUUUAUUCC